RNAcentral lists this long non-coding RNA (462 nucleotides) under Homo sapiens (human). Its description in RNAcentral is "HSALNT0392451". The record is from RNAcentral. Lineage: Eukaryota; Metazoa; Chordata; Mammalia; Primates; Hominidae.
GUAAUCACGAUGGUUAACUUGCAAAUGAAUUAAAACUACAAAUGUCAGGAGUUUCUGAGAGCUGACAUUAACAUAAUAUUCUUGAGGGAUUGUGCUGCUCCAGCUAAUUGGACUGUUCUGAUAGAAGACAAAAUGGAAUAAAAAUAAUGUGUCUCAUGAAGCAUGUUAGAUUCAACCUUAGAGAGAAGCUAUCGGAAUGAUUUGCUGGGGUCACAGUCACCUGGCUGUUGGUUGGGAGUUAUUCACAGCUCCUAGGCCCUCUAAGUCUUUGUAUGUGGACCCAUCUUUCUUCAAGCCAACAACACUUGUUUCUGCUAGGUGCUCAGUUCAGGUAUCACAUUUGUCAAAUGGUAUAAUCAUCUCUUCGCCUGAAGACAAGAGCCUGGGGAACUUCUCAAAUGCCAGCCAGCACUUAGCCAGCAAAACUCCUUGAAGGUAAAGAUGGCCAAAAGGCACACACCA